This is a long non-coding RNA of Neogale vison (American mink), 1189 nucleotides long. RefSeq lists it as uncharacterized. Lineage: Eukaryota; Metazoa; Chordata; Mammalia; Carnivora; Mustelidae. The record is from RefSeq and is a predicted model, not a curated record. The transcript has 3 exons.
AACACCAUGCCAGGCUGGUUGUCGUUCUUGCGGGCCGAGGGCGACAAUUGGCCAGACUGGAGCCGAUGAUUCCCUGCCUAUCCUUUUUUCUCAGGGAGCCGGUAACUGGGGACCCUGCAUGCAGCUUGGGGGUUCCUGUCAGUGGAAAAGAAGGUGGAGUGUGAGAGCUGGCGGCCCACAUGUCUUGGGAGGCUUCAGAGGUGAUGAGCGAGGCCCAUGGUGGUCCGGAUCUCCCACCAGCCCCUGCUCUUUUUCUUGGUUUGGGGGGGGGGAGCGGGAAGAAUGGUAAUUUGGUUUAUGCUUCGGGGCACCAAGAUACCCUGCCCCUUUAUCCCUACGAACCUAAGGACUAAGAGUGUGGCAUCUAACGUUAGCAUCCAACGUCCAGGUUUGCCUCCCGCUUCCUCGUACUAAUUCUGUGAGUUACUUAACCUUCCCGCGCCUCUCUUUUCUUACCCGUAAAAUAGGAGUAUUGAUUAUAGCAUCUUGGAAGAAGCGUGAAAUUCGCUGGAUAAACUCUGCUCACAGUUCCUCUUUUUAGCCAAGACACAAGACUCUGGCCAGGGAAGGUUCCCGCGCCCACAGCGGAACUGCGGGGAUGGGGCCAAUUUAUUGCCCCCCCCCCGCCCCCACCAAAAAAACCCCGCAGCUCGCAAGUCGCGCCUCUGGGAUAGCUGCUGUGGCUGAGACGGAGCUCCUCCUGGCGGGGACCGAGCCUGAGCGGGACCCGGGACCCCGCGCCUCGGGAGCACCCCUCCCCCGCCCCCUUCGCCCCAAGGAGGGCCCUCCAGCCGUCCGGGUGUGCCUCUCAAGCAGGCACAGAGAGGCAUCGAUAGGCAUCUGGGUGAUCAGGCAGUACCCCGGGGAACCCACCUGGAUUCUCUUGGCCAGGUGCCUGGAAUACAACGCAGGUGUGAGAGUGGGAGUCUUCCUACACCAGCCCACCCCUCUGACAGCGAUCCUGGGGGCCUCCCUUUGCUGCUGCUUCCCCAACACCACUUAUCUCUGAAUUCUAGGGUCAUGUUCAUUCCUAGGUCCCCAGAUAACGGCACCGCAUUUCAAACUGGGUCUUGUCUGUGCGCUUGGAGAUGUGUGCUGGUGUGCACUAAAACACUCACGAUGGGCGCCUGGAUGGCUCAGUGAAUUAAGUCUCUCUGCCUUGGGCUCAGGUCAUGAUCUGGGAUGGAGC